UACAGAGGUCUCAAGCGUUGUUCGUAUUCAUUGGGCGUAAAGGGUGCGUAGGCGGCGCGGUAAGUCGGGUGUGAAAUCUCGGAGCUUAACUCCGAAACUGCAUUCGAUACUGCUGUGCUUGAGGACUGGAGAGGAGACUGGAAUUUACGGUGUAGCGGUGAAAUGCGUAGAUAUCGUAAGGAAGACCAGUGGCGAAGGCGGGUCUCUGGACAGUUCCUGACGCUGAGGCACGAAGGCCAGGGGAGCAAACGGG
Molecule: ribosomal RNA, 253 nt
Filed under: uncultured bacterium
Lineage: Bacteria
Description: partial 16S ribosomal RNA
Rfam family: Bacterial small subunit ribosomal RNA
Source: RNAcentral